UGAGACAGUAAAAUUUGGUCAUGAGUCCCAAUGGACUCGGACCCGAGAAUAUAGGAUACUCAUUUGGUAGACUAAAAACAUACUAGUAGUUCACGAAAUGUAAUAAACUGAAAAUGCAUAAAUACUCUCUAAAAAGAUUCAUAGGCAUGUAUAUAAAACUACAAAACAAUUCCAGUGAAUAUUUCGCAUAUGGACGUCGACCAAUUAAUGGCGUAACCUGGAUUUCUUUGUCCAAAAGAUUACAGCGCCAUCAGGUACGCAGUACCAUAUUCUCGCAUUGCAUCGACAGUCGUGCACCAAACAGCAUAACAGCCUCAUCAAUGACAACUUAGCAGAUCAUAAUAACAAAACAAUUGUUUGUCUUCAGUCGCCAUAUUUCGCACAACAUGUUUCGGCCUAAAGGACUUUCAUCAGUUGUGUUUAAAGAAGCACCGGCUGUGAAGACGUACAAGAAGAGGAUAUAUAUCCCCACGUAUUCUUAGCCUCGGAACUAGAUGGAAGUGAAUGGUCAACUUCGUGCCCCGGAAGUUUUACCUCCGGCAGAGGUGUCCCUGGUAGCCUCUGGGUAGGAGGCUGAAUCAGCCCAGGGCCGGUUCAGCCGCUGUGGUAAGGUACUAUGGCGUAUUUGUUCCAUGCAAGAACUGCUGAGCCAUAGAAAUAGUCGUUGCUAAGUAAUACACGCACGCAACAAUAAAACAACGGGGUUAUACAACCAGUUUCUAGGCAACGGCUUGGUAAACACGCUUCCGCAUAGGCAGUGACGUCACACAAUACAACAACAGUGUUUUCUUGGUGUCCAUGCAUCUUGUGCCUGCUCGAUGACACAGCAAUAGAUGAUCUGUGUUUUCUGUGUGGUCCGUGUGAAGCCUAUAUAACGAAGACCUGUUGUAGCUUAGAUUAGUUCAAUCAAGAGAACGGGAAUAAAACGGCACGCAGCAGUUCAGUUGUAGUUAAAGAGGAAUUAGAAGCCGGCCUGUGAAGACUUAGUGUGUGAUCAGAAGAUUUAGUCACAGUGAGACUGUUUUACUUCCGUUACCGGGAAACGACUAGUGAAGACUGAGAAUAUAUCCUAUAACCAUUACGACUUCCUAUUAUGGUCAGUGGUUAUGAACCGGCCGUCGAAAUAAAACUGUCCCGGGAUACAACCCCUUCCACUUCAUCUAUCCACCGACACCUUUAAUCCUGUAGAUACUAUUAGUUAUUUGUGAAACGUGACAGCAGGACAAAAGAGUUAUAUCUUUGUUCCUCCCUUUUUUACUUUUUGUAUUUGAACCAUUUUAAUUUCGUGAUUUUAUAGGAUUGUAGUUCUGGGAUGGCCUAAGAGUGAGUUCACUUUUGCUCUUAGUCAUUACUGUUUAUAUAACCGGGUACGAUUAUUAUUGUUAUAACAGAAAUGAAAGUUUUACAUUAUUAACAACAGUAUGCGGAGUAUAGUGAAUACGAGUAUACCAAAUGCCAGAUGAAAAGAGGCCACUGGGAAGGCCAAGACGUA
Long non-coding RNA from Cryptotermes secundus, 1492 nucleotides. RefSeq lists it as uncharacterized. Lineage: Eukaryota; Metazoa; Arthropoda; Insecta; Blattodea; Kalotermitidae. The record is from RefSeq and is a predicted model, not a curated record. The transcript is spliced from 4 exons.